UCUUCCGCGCCGGCCGGCCGGCCGGCCGCCCGUUGCAUAAUGUCAGCGGCCCCUCCAGGGCCGACGCCAAGAACUGCCCGACGCCGCCGCCGACGCCGCCUCCUCGCCGUAGCUACAGUUUUCUGGACCGCGGCUGACAGCGCAACAAGCCUAACGGACACACAGGCCACUGCGGCUCCGCAGACAGCUAAAAAUGUCUUGUCCUCGACACAGCCGAUGCGAAGACAAUACCGUCACGGACAGGUAAAAUGGAAAUGAUCGUCUGGCGUCAUUGGCCGGGAGGCCUCUCACGGGGCAGGUCCGGCCGCCUUGGUGCAGGUCUUAUUACAUUCGACGCCACAUUGGGCGGCCUGCGCACCGGAUGGGGAUGAAAUGAUGAUGUAGACAACACAACACCCAGUCCCUGAGCGGAGAAAAUCCCCGACACAGCCGGAAAUCCAACCCGGGCCUCUUAGGACAGCAGUCCGUCACGCUGAUCAUUCAGCUAUCGGGUCGGACAAUUUGCAGGUGAAGGACAUUGCAAGACUGAGAAGACCCAGCUAUUACCACUAAGCAGACCACGACCAACUGAUGCAACAGUGAAGUCAGCAAAGUUUAAAUCUCUGCAGAUAUUAACAACGAAUAUCCACUGCAAGAGACAAUCAUGACUCUACGAUCAAAGCUCAUGGUUACUCAAGACGCUGUCUUCAUAAACGCACAAGUUAUGUGGAUCAAGAACUGUUCGCAACAAAUGUGGAAACUAGCAAGAAGAUCAGCCUUCUGUUUUGUUGCUAGCCCUGGCGAGAAGAUCAGCCUUCUGUUUUGGUGCUAGCACGGGCGAGUCUAUCUUCCAGUAAAAAAUUAAAUCUGCAGAAAGCGUUAGAAAAUGUGAAAAUGGUAACCUUACAAAGAGCAGUUUCUGAAAGCCGUCAUUCGCUGAUAGAACUGGUAGAAAUCAAUAUUUACUGCAGCCAUGCAACUUUAAUUCGUCAAUCAAAGUGGGAAAGCAACGGGCAAAGCUAUUUUGAAACAGAAUACUUGAUAAUGUACUUUCCAGAAAUAAUUCUGGCAACUUACCCGACCACAAAAAAGGUAAGGAUGCCUUCCCCAGAUAAAAGCGUCGUGUGUAGCUCAGGGAUGAUUCGUUGUGUGGAGGAACACCUACUCUGUUACGGCGGCAGUCUGCUAGUACAUUUGAGAUGAUACAGCCACGUCCGUAAUAUGCUGUAGUACUCAGCCAUUUUUAUGGGUAAUAAAUACCAACUUUAAUUACGAAA
Long non-coding RNA from Schistocerca serialis cubense, 1256 nucleotides. RefSeq lists it as uncharacterized. The transcript has 3 exons. Lineage: Eukaryota; Metazoa; Arthropoda; Insecta; Orthoptera; Acrididae. The record is from RefSeq and is a predicted model, not a curated record.